CCUACGGGGUGCAGCAGUAGGGAAUCUUCGGCAAUGGGGGGAACCCUGACCGAGCAACGCCGCGUGAACGAAGAAGUUAUUCGUAAUGUAAAGUUCUUUUAACAGGGAAGAAAGAGAAAUUUGACGGUACCUUAAGAAUAAGCUCCGGCUAACUACGUGCCAGCAGCCGCGGUAAUACGUAGGGAGCGAGCGUUAUGCGGAAUUAUUGGGCGUAAGGGGUGCGGAGAUGGGAUAGUAAGUCUGUUGUAAAACCGCUGGGCUCAACCCAGUAGGGCAAAAGAUACUGGAAAGCUAGAGUAUGACAGAGGCAAGUGGAAUUAGAUGUGUAGCGGUAAAAUGCGUAAAUAUAAGUAAGAACCCCAGUGGCGAAGGCGGCUUGCUGGGUCGAGACUGACAUUGAGGCACGAAAGCGUGGGGAGCAAACAGGAUUAGAUACCCUUGUAGUC
RNAcentral lists this ribosomal RNA (446 nucleotides) under uncultured bacterium. RNAcentral's name for it is "partial 16S ribosomal RNA". It matches the Rfam family "Bacterial small subunit ribosomal RNA", at positions 338 to 795 of the family's 1533-position model. The record is from RNAcentral.